RNAcentral lists this non-coding RNA (45 nucleotides) under Caenorhabditis japonica. Its description in RNAcentral is "sRNA CJA48991". It matches the Rfam family "Histone 3' UTR stem-loop". From Rfam's summary of the family: The mRNAs of metazoan histone genes lack a poly-A tail. 3' end processing occurs at a site between a highly conserved stem-loop (modelled by this family) and a purine rich region around 20 nts downstream (the histone downstream element, or HDE). The record is from RNAcentral. Lineage: Eukaryota; Metazoa; Nematoda; Chromadorea; Rhabditida; Rhabditidae.
CCAACGGCCCUCUUUAGGGCCACAAAUAUUUUGUUUAAAUCUUGA